AUCCACUUCGGGAAAGACGUAUUCCUGGUCGUAAUGUUGGACCUGAAGCGAGGCGACCAUCUGUCGGCGCCAGCUGAUUCUCCUCAGAGACAUGGAGGAAGAGGAAGGGGACAAUGCUGUGAAGGCAUGCUGUGAGUGUGACACACCAAUACUACUGAAGGAGCAGCUGGGGACUCUGAUGGAGGAGUGCGAGAUAUCUCAGAGUUGGGGACACAGUCUGGGUCUGAGGACAGGAGACACAUUGUCCAGGGACACCUCUGAUAUAGAGAUC
This is a long non-coding RNA of Salvelinus sp. IW2-2015, 271 nucleotides long. RefSeq lists it as uncharacterized. Lineage: Eukaryota; Metazoa; Chordata; Actinopteri; Salmoniformes; Salmonidae. The record is from RefSeq and is a predicted model, not a curated record.